UUACUGUUAAGGAUUAAAUAUACCACUCAAACGACAGUUAGUUUAAGGAUUUACAGAAAAAAUCCAUCACAAAUCGCAUGCCACCAAGAAACACAUUUUUAUACCUGAAUCCUUAAAUUUUAAAGUUUCCUGUGGGUUUUAAUUCACAUUCCUUAACUAAAUCCAAGGGAAUUUCUAUCAUAGUCCAUAAAAACUGAAUCUUCUUUCUCCAAAUGGUAUUCUGAUCGCGAGGGACGUAUUCUAAUUUUAACCAGCCUCCUCAACUUUUUACCUAUAACUAUUAUGAAUAUCUAUACUCCAAACAAAAAUCAGAUUGCUUUCCUGGAGAGAGGUUUCCAGAAAUUGGAUGGUAUGUGGGGACUUUAAUUGCGUCUUUGACUCUGCUAUGGACGGACACAUGUUCUGGAAUGUCAGAUAACCCAUUAAAACUCUGAAACUCUCUUAUCAUGAAACCAUGCCAACUUCUACUACAUUUCAAUCUUUACGGAGAACAUUACACCCUACAUAUUUCUCCACAGUCCAUAUUCUAGAAUACAUGUGUUGUGUAGACAGCCAAACCUUACAAUCAGUGACUGAAACAGCCACUUGCACCGUCAAGGUGGUUGGAUAACCGACCUCUCUCUACCACAUUCUGUUUGUAUUUUCUGACCUGGAACUUGCCACUUUAAUGACUCCUUAUUAAAUGACCAAUCGAUACACACCAAACUAAAUUUGCUAUACAAGAUUUUUUUUGCAUCAAUGCUUCAGAACAUACCUCCCACGACAGUAGUUAGCAAGCUCAUAAGGCAGUAAUGUGGAGUCUUUUUAUACAAUUAGGGUCAGGAAAUAAAAUAAAUCACUAUUAAUUGGUUUCCCUAAUGAGCAAUAUCAAAGCCUACAAGAGAGUUUUUUCUUUGGCUGGCGUAAAGACUACUUGACUUACCAGACUUAAUAUAUUGAAAUUUAAUCAUCAAAUCCUUCUACAUAAAAGUAAAGAAACACUUAUCUUAUGUGAUAAACACCGGGUAUCCUUGCUAACAGGGCCGGUGCAAGUAGAUUUGACGCCCUAGGCAAAACAAUGUUUGCUGCCCAAUAU
Non-coding RNA from Pelobates cultripes (western spadefoot toad), 1075 nucleotides. Lineage: Eukaryota; Metazoa; Chordata; Amphibia; Anura; Pelobatidae. The record is from the annotation of a GenBank genome assembly.